UACGUCGGGGGCAAGCGUUGUCCGGAAUCAUUGGUCGUAAAGAGCGUGUAGGCGGCUCGAUAAGUCUGCUGUGAAAGUCCAGGGCUCAACCCUGGAAGGCCGGUGGAAACUGUCGGGCUAGAGUCCGGAAGAGGCGAGUGGAAUUCCCGGUGUAGCGGUGAAAUGCGCAGAUAUCGGGAGGAACACCAAUGGCGAAGGCAGCGCGCUGGGACGGUACUGACGCUGAGACGCGAAAGCGUGGGGAGCAAACAGG
RNAcentral lists this ribosomal RNA (253 nucleotides) under uncultured bacterium. Its description in RNAcentral is "partial 16S ribosomal RNA". It matches the Rfam family "Bacterial small subunit ribosomal RNA", at positions 524 to 776 of the family's 1533-position model. The record is from RNAcentral.